UUCUUAUCGAGAGAAACUGAGGGACAGGCCCAAUGACGUUUCGGCAGCAGAUUCAGAAUGAAAACUGUGCCAAUUCCUGCAAGCAAUUUAUGCUUGAAAGAUGAGAA
This 107-nucleotide non-coding RNA is filed under the name Psychrobacillus sp. FJAT-21963. RNAcentral describes it as "SAM riboswitch aptamer (S box leader)". It matches the Rfam family "SAM riboswitch aptamer (S box leader)". From Rfam's summary of the family: The SAM riboswitch is found upstream of a number of genes which code for proteins involved in methionine or cysteine biosynthesis in Gram-positive bacteria. Lineage: Bacteria; Bacillati; Bacillota; Bacilli; Caryophanales; Bacillaceae. RNAcentral also lists the same sequence under 1 other name. The record is from Rfam by way of RNAcentral.